RNAcentral lists this ribosomal RNA (1279 nucleotides) under uncultured bacterium. Its description in RNAcentral is "bacterial SSU rRNA". It matches the Rfam family "Bacterial small subunit ribosomal RNA", at positions 99 to 1399 of the family's 1533-position model. The record is from RNAcentral.
CGCACGGGUGAGUAACACGUGAGUAGCCUGCCCCCGAGAGCGGGAUAGCCCUGGGAAAACUGGGGAUUUAAUCCCGCAUAGUAAUCGAAAAGAUUAAAGCAGCAAUGCGCUUGGGGAUGGGCUCGCGGCCUAUUAGUUAGUUGGUGAGGUAACGGCUCACCAAGGCGAUGACGGGUAGCCGGUCUGAGAGGAUGUCCGGCCACACUGGAACUGAGACACGGUCCAGACACCUACGGGUGGCAGCAGUCGAGAAUCAUUCACAAUGGGGGAAACCCUGAUGGUGUGACGCCGCGUGGGGGAAUGAAGGUCUUCGGAUUGUAAACCCCUGUCAUGUGGGAGCAAAUUAAAAAGAUAGUACCACAAGAGGAAGGGACGGCUAACUCUGUGCCAGCAGCCGCGGUAAUACAGAGGUCUCAAGCGUUGUUCGGAAUCACUGGGCGUAAAGCGUGCGUAGGCUGUUUCGUUAGUCGUGUGUGAAAGGCGCGGGCUCAACCCGCGGACGGCACAUGAUACUGCGAGACUAGAGUAAUGGAGGGGGAACCGGAAUUCUCGGUGUAGCAGUGAAAUGCGUAGAUAUCGAGAGGAACACUCGUGGCGAAGGCGGGUUCCUGGACAUUAACUGACGCUGAGGCACGAAGGCCAGGGGAGCGAAAGGGAUUAGAUACCCCUGUAGUCCUGGCAGUAAACGGUGCACGCUUGGUGUGCGGGGAAUCGACCCCCUGCGUGCCGGAGCUAACGCGUUAAGCGUGCCGCCUGGGGAGUACGGUCGCAAGAUUAAAACUCAAAGAAAUUGACGGGGACCCGCACAAGCGGUGGAGUAUGUGGCUUAAUUCGAUGCGACGCGAAGAACCUUACCUGGGCUUGACAUGUAAUGAACAACAUGUGAAAGCAUGCGACUCUUCGGAGGCGUUACACAGGUGCUGCAUGGCCGUCGUCAGCUCGUGUCAUGAGAUGUUUGGUUAAGUCCAGCAACGAGCGCAACCCCUGUUGCCAGUUACCAGCACGUGAAGGUGGGGACUCUGGCGAGACUGCCCAGAUCAACUGGGAGGAAGGUGGGGACGACGUCAGGUCAGUAUGGCCCUUAUGCCCAGGGCUGCACACGUACUACAAUGCCCAGUACAGAGGGGGCCGAAGCCGCGAGGCGGAGGAAAUCCUGAAAACUGGGCCCAGUUCGGACUGUAGGCUGCAACCCGCCUACACGAAGCCGGAAUCGCUAGUAAUGGCGCAUCAGCUACGGCGCCGUGAAUACGUUCCCGGGUCUUGCACACACCGCCCGUCA